RNAcentral lists this ribosomal RNA (253 nucleotides) under uncultured bacterium. RNAcentral describes it as "partial 16S ribosomal RNA". It matches the Rfam family "Bacterial small subunit ribosomal RNA", at positions 524 to 776 of the family's 1533-position model. The record is from RNAcentral.
UACAGAGGGGGCAAGCGUUGUUCGGAUUCACUGGGCGUAAAGGGUGCGUAGGUGGUGAGGUAAGUCGGAUGUGAAAUCUCCAAGCUCAACUUGGAAACUGCAUUGGAAACUACCUUGCUAGAGGAUUUGAGGGGGGAUUGGAAUACUUGGUGUAGCAGUGAAAUGCGUAGAUAUCAAGUGGAACACCAGUGGCGAAGGCGAAUCCCUGGAAAAUACCUGACACUGAGGCACGAAAGCUAGGGGAGCAAACAGG